GACAGAGGGUGCAAACGUUGCUCGGAAUCACUGGGCGUAAAGGGCGUGUAGGCGGGCAUGUAAGGCGGGCGUGAAAUCCCUAGGCUCAACCUAGGAACUGCACUCGAAACUGCGUUUCUUGAGUAUCGGAGAGGAAAGCGGAAUACCUGGUGUAGAGGUGAAAUUCGUAGAUAUCAGGUGGAACACCAGUGGCGAAGGCGGCUUUCUGGACGAUAACUGACGCUGAGACGCGAAAGCGUGGGGAGCAAACAGG
RNAcentral lists this ribosomal RNA (253 nucleotides) under uncultured bacterium. Its description in RNAcentral is "partial 16S ribosomal RNA". It matches the Rfam family "Bacterial small subunit ribosomal RNA", at positions 524 to 776 of the family's 1533-position model. The record is from RNAcentral.